Molecule: ribosomal RNA, 274 nt
Filed under: uncultured bacterium
Lineage: Bacteria
Description: partial 16S ribosomal RNA
Rfam family: Bacterial small subunit ribosomal RNA
Source: RNAcentral
AUACGGAGGGUCCAAGCGUUAUCCGGAUUCAUUGGGUUUAAAGGGUCCGCAGGCGGGAAAAUAAGUCAGUGGUGAAAGCCUACAGCUCAACUGUAGAACUGCCAUUGAUACUGUUUUUCUUGAGUAUAGAUGAAGUGGGCGGAAUAUAUCAUGUAGCGGUGAAAUGCAUAGAUAUGAUAUAGAACACCGAUUGCGAAGGCAGCUCACUAAACUAUUACUGACGCUCAGGGUCGAAAGCGUGGGGAGCGAACAGGAUUAGAAACCCCAGUAGUCC